This is a long non-coding RNA of Sapajus apella (tufted capuchin), 6354 nucleotides long. RefSeq lists it as uncharacterized. The transcript is spliced from 2 exons. Lineage: Eukaryota; Metazoa; Chordata; Mammalia; Primates; Cebidae. The record is from RefSeq and is a predicted model, not a curated record.
CUGUAGCUGAUUUAUUUCUUUAAGUUUCCCUGCCGUCGGCAGAGUGAACCAGAUACGUGUGUGUUGGGGCAUUCGCUGCGUGGAGGAGGAGGAAGAAAGGCAUUUAAAAAUUUUUAUUAAAAAAAUUUUUUUUGCCUCUCUACCCCAUCUCCCCCCUCAACAAAUUGUGAUGGGAUUAGUAGGUGUUGACAAGUUGUCCAUAUUGCUUUGAAUUUGGGUAAGUUGUACACUCUUAAAAGAUGACUGUAAUUUAGCUCUGUGGAUUUAUUCUUUACUGGCCCUUACCAUCUCCCCACCCCCCACCAUCCCCCAUUUAAAACAAACAACAAUAUCAGCAACAAAAAACCCACACAUCCUGGAAAAAUUCUCUAGAUUUCUACUAUAUUUCUCUACAUCCAUUGUAGAUAUUACUGUAUUUACUUUUAAGAUAGAAAACUAUUGUGCUAACCAUGGAUUGAUUUCAUUAUGAAUUUAAAAGUUGUAAAUUUAGAACCAUAAUGAAUCUGAAUAAUUAGGCCAACAUGUAAGGGACAGAAAUAUGUUAAUUUACUAAAAGUUGGGCAUAGAACAUACCUCUGCCUAGAUGGCAGGAAAAAGUGCUAUGCAUAAUUUCAAGUUGUUUGUUUCUGGUGUGAGUUUGGAAAGUGGGAAUCUGAGUUUUUAGUAGGUACUUAGAUGACAGCUUUUCACCCUCUUAGUUAAAUGUCAAAUGAGCUUGAUGCACAUGAUACUCUAUGUUCUAAGUAUUGUAUAUAGUAAACUAUAUUUUCUACCGGCCUUUAUAUUGAUGUACAGUUUAAAUGAAUAUGAAGUUUAAAGUUAGCAGUUAACUCUUCGUAUGUUAAGUAAAACAAUGAUUUAGUAAGGAAAGUAUGACUCAUUUAAAUUUUUUCAUAGGAAAAGACAAUUUUUCAGUAUUAGUGGAGAAUUAUUAAAUGUCUCUCUUAAAUUUGCCUGGAAUUUGUAUUUUUGUGUAUCUUUCUACUUAGGAUUAAGCAUUUUAGGAAUAUUGUGUUUCCUAUUAAAGUUUUUCUUAAUUAUGCUUUUUAAGACUAUACUGGUCAAUGUUUCUGAGUAAAUUCAAUAUCCAGUUAUUCUUAGAAUUGUAUCACAAAUUUAUUCAGGGUACAUCUAAUAAGUUCAUGUUUACCUAAUAGAAAUAUGAAAAUUUAUGUCACUGGGCAUAUGCUAUUUAUAUGUUGAUUUGUGCUAAAAUUAAAAUUACAUUAUACAGUUUAACUUUAUAAGUCAUCGUAAUUUAAAGUAGAGUCCGUGUAUGGUAAAAUCAUUGAUGGGAAUUUUUGUGACCGUGCAGCUAUAAAUAAACCUUAAGUAGAAAAUGGAAAGCUUGAUGCUGAAAUUGAAUUCAUAUAGGCUUAAAAGUUUAAGCUUCCUAAUACAACCAUUUUUUCGUUUAGAAGAUUCUUAGGAUUUGAUUAACGAGUUUGGUGUACAAACUAUAGCAAGGCUGAAAGAAAGGCAUGACAAAAAUGUUUUUACUCCAGGUUCAGUGGGAUUAAGUCAUUCUUUUAAAAGAAGAAAGGGAUGUCUGGGGGGGAGGGGUUGAAGGGGACUUGUUCCAUAAAAUGAAAAGUUAGCCUUUUAUCUUAAAACCUGGUUAGAGAAGAACUCCAAUGUGUACUUAAAUUAUUUUGCAGCUAAUACAAAUGUCCAAGGAGAAAAUAUAUGCCAAAAUCUGUAAUGUAUGAGAACAGGAAGUGUCCCUUGGAGAGAAAAAAUAUAUAUAAAGAAACUGGUGUUUGUGAUCUAGGGAAGCACAUAAGAAGGUGGAAGAAACAAAAGGAAAGCAAAUAAAUUAGCACCUGUAGUAUGUGCUGCCUUGCUCAUUGAAGGGGCAUGUUGUGGGCAAAGAGAGGCAAAAUUAGGGAGAUUCUGGAAUGGGAAACCUGUAUACUAAAGCACAUUUAAACUAGUGGAUGUUGGAUAAUAGGCAGAAUUUGAAAUUAAAUACAGCUUGGCAUAGUUAUUUGCUUUCGUGGUCAUUGUAUUAGUUUUCUAGGGCUGCGGUAACAAAAUACCACAAACUGGGUGAUUUAAAACAAGAGAUUUAUUGUCUCAGUUCUGGAGACAAAGUAUCUGUCUGAAAUCAAGAUAUAGGUAGGUCCAUGCUCUCUCGAGGUUCAAGGGGAGAAUCUGUUCCAUCCCUCUUAGCUUCUUGUGUUACUGCCAGUCCUUGGCGUUUUUUGGCUUGCAGCUAUCACUCCAGUCUCUGACUGUUAUCAUGACAUAAUCCCUGUGUGGCUCUGUCUUCAUAUGGUGUGAUCCCCUUCUUAAAAGGUUACUAGUCGUAUUGGAUUAAGAUCUACCCUAAUCACAUCAUCUUAACUUGAUUACAUCUGCAAAGACCCUAUUUUGAAAUAAGGUCACACGCAGAGGUACUAGAAUUAGGACUUCAGCCUAUCUUUUGGGGAGACACAGUUUAACCUAUAACAGUUACGCAGUUUGUAUUCUACAGUGUUCAGUAGAUGUUUAGCAUCAUAGGCUGAAUCAGAGGCUACAAUGAAAACAGGAUGGGACCCAUACAUUUAUUUACAUAUAUCAGUAUGUCUUAAUCCGUUUUCUGUUACCUCUAGCAGAAUAUCUGAAACUGGCUAUUCUGUAAAGAAAAGAAAUUUAUUCUUUACAGUUAUGAAGGCUGAAAAGUCCUGAGUCAGGAGGCCACAUCUGGUGAGGACCUUGCUGGUAGGGACUCUACAGAGUCCUGAGGUAGCACAGGGUACCACAUGGUGAGGGGGCCAAGUAUGCUAGCCCAGAACUCUUUCUUAUAAAGCUACCAGUUUCUUUCCCAUGGUAACCCAUUCAUGAGGGCCAAAGCCUUAGGAUCCAGUCAUCACUUAAAGACUCCAGCUCUCGGUACUGCCACACUGGCGAUAAAGUUUCAACAUGAGUUUUGAUGGAGACAAACAUUUAGACCACAGCAAGUGCUUACUGUGUGCCAAGUCCUAGAGAUAAAACAAUGGAUAGACAAAAAUCUCUGUCCUCAUGGAACUUACAUUCUCAAACACACGUUCUAAAAAUGUGGUCCCUGGAUCUAUAGCAUCCGCAUCACCUAGGAAGUUGUUAGAAAUUGACAUUUUCAGUCUCCAUCACAGAACUGCUUAACUAGCCUUCCAAAUUAUUCUGAUGCAGACUCAGGUUUCAGAACCACUGAUCAAGAUGGAAAAGAGACAAUAAACAAGAUGGAAGUUAAAUAAUAUUAGCUAUUAAUAGGUGCUGUGGGUAAGAAUAGGAUGGCCAGCGAAGACCCUGAAAAGUAAAGACCUGAAGGAGUUAGAGUGAGCCAUAUGAGCCAUCUGGGUGUGUGUUCUCAGCAGAGAACAGUAAGCGCAAAGACCCUGGCACAUUGGAGGAAUGGCAAGCAGUCCAGCGUUAAAACGUAGUGAAGGAAACAGUAUUAGGUUCAAUCUAUAAAAUUGUUGCUGUUUGUUCAUUUUUGACCUACAAAAGCACCAGAUACUAGGGAGAAGAGAUCAGAAAGAAAGUGGUGCAGUAGGAUGCCGAUUGUGUGAAGAUUGUUGUAAGGUUUUGAGUUUCUCUGAUACUAGGAGGACAGUGGAGGGUUUUGAGCAAAUGAGUGAUAUGAUCUGAUUUCAGUUUUAAAAGGAUCACUGUGGCUACUGGUAAAAAUGGGCCAAAGAAGGAAAGGCUAAAGGAAGGGAAAAGAUGGUUAGAAUGUUGUUACAGUUGUUAGAGGUGGCUCAGACCAGUGUGAUAGCAGUGGAGAGGUGGUUACUUGGGCCUGUUUUCUUCCCCAGGAAACAUUUAGCAAUGUCUAGACAUUGUUUGUCAAAACUAGGGGGAACGGUACUGGCUUGCAUCUAGCUUAGCGGCCAGGAAUGCUGCUAAACAUUCUACAGUCAACAGGACAAUUUCCACAACAGAGGGUUAUCCAGCUCUUGAUGUCAGUAGCACCAAGGUUAAGAAACCUUGGUUUCAUGGGAUUUACAGAGGAUGGUAGGAAGCAGGUGUUGUAGUCAGAGAAAACAGUAGGAAUAGAGGAGCUGACUGUAUUGAGAAUCUUUCAGGAACUGUAGAUCAGGAUUGCUGAAACAGGCAUAAAUUAUAAGGCACAGAAUAGCAAAAGAUGAGGCUGGAAACUUGGACAGGCUCUAGAUCAUAGCCUUUAUAUAUAUCAUGUUUAAAAAAAGUUUAGUUUUUGUCUUGUAAGCAGUGGGGUUCCAUGAAAGGAUUUGUGGAGUGACAUGGUCAGCUUUUCAUUUUAGAGAGGUCAUUCUGGUGACAGAAGGGCUAUGAGCUAAAGAGGAAUAGCAUUUGUGUCAUACAAGUUAGAUAUUUUAAUAGCCUGGGGAAGAGAGGAGAGUCUGACAUAGGAUAAAUAAUAGAAAUAGAGAGGAGACAAUGGAUUAGAAAAAUAUUUAGAAAGUAAUGUUGGCAAGACUUGGUAAUUGAAUUUGGGGUGAAGAUAAGGGAAGCAUUCAGAAUGUGUCUGUACUUUUUAGUUUAGAUAAUCUUAGGGCUUUGAGUGAAAUAGGAACCCAUUGGUGAGUAAUUUAGAUAAUUACCAGUAAUUAAGGUAAAAGGAGAAGAGGAAGGUAAUGAGUCACUUUGGGUGUGUUGAAUUAGAGAUGCCUAUGUUCCAGGUGGAAGUGUUUAGCAGGCAUUUGUGUAUGUGAAUCUGAAACUUGGAUAAAUCUGAAAGGAGAAAGAGAUCAUUUUAACAGAUAUGGAGAAAUUAGUGGACUUUACUUUUUAUUAUAUUUUACUCUGUAGAUAAAAAUAGCCUCCCUUUAAGUUUUAUCAGAAAAAUAAUGUCUGUACCUGAUGCAAAAUUAAAACAUCAAAAGGUUAUAAAAUGAAAAAAAAUUCUUUCUUGCUUGUGCCACCCAGUAGUAGUUCCCAGAGAUAGCUCUUGUUAAAUAUCGUAUGUAUAUAUAUCUUAAUAGAUUUUUUAGUAUAUACAGAAGCAUCUAAAAAGCCAAGUGAGAUCAUAAUAGAAAGAUUUUUGUAUUUUGUCUUAAAAAAAUAAACCUUUUAUACAGUUGUUAAAAUGAAUGACUGUGUUAUGGAAAAAAUAAAUGAAGGGGAAAAAUGCAGACUAAUGGAUAAGCAUGAUCUUUGAUGUAAAUUAAAAGCUCAACAUACAUGUGUGAUGAGAUAGGCAUUACCCAACAAUACGAAAGCAGUUACUUUUGGGGAGAGAUAGUGGUAGAGAUGGUAAAGAAAAUUUACUCUUCUGUAUGUAUAUGGUUUUCUCUGUCUUUCAUUUGUUUGGGUUCCUUUUGUUUUCUUUACAUUUUCUGAUGCUUAAAAAAAUACCCAGUACACCUUAUUAACAAUGAAAAGUAACCUUUAUCAAAAGCACAAAGACUUUCCUUCAUCAGCACAUGUAGAUCAUUAUUUUUAACAGCUACGAGUAUUCUAUGCUGCAGUAUCUUUUUUUUUUUUAAACUAGUUCCUCAAUCAACAGACAAACAUCUUAUGGUUAUGGCUGUCAUGAGCAUCUUGGCUGACUUCUAUGAUUGUAUCUGUAAAAUAAAUUUCUGAUCAUGAAGUGAUGGAUCAAGGCAUAAUUAAAAAUUUUAAAAGAUGUGAAAUGCUCCUCCAAAAGACAGUAAAAGUUUAUAUUGCGUGAAAGAAUAUAGGACUCUCCGUUUUCUCAUAUCUGUGUCAAUGACAGCUGUUAAUACACUUUAAAAGUUUUGCCAAUAUGUUAAGUUAAAAAUAAUAUCUUUUCAUUUGAUUUACCCUUCUUUGUGAGUGAAAUUUGAACAUCGUUGACCGUUUUUCUCUGUGAAUCUUUUAUUUUCUUUAUCUAUUUUUAUAUUUGGUUAAUUAUUGAUCUUUUUUUAUUAUUUAUGAUACUUUUUGGUACUUUUUGUUGUACAUUAAAAAAUACAUUUCAUAAAGAAAUAGACCUUUUAACCAGCGACUUCAUUGCCAGAAAUUUAUCCAAUGAAUAAAUUCAUGGUUUUUUAAUAGUCAUAGCUUCCGAGUUCAGGAGAGAUCUCAAUUCGUAAUACAAAAAUGCAGAACUAUAUUUUCUUCCAGUUUUGUUUUAAAUCCAUUUUCUGAAAUACUGAAAUCUUAGAAACAUUUGGAACUGUUAUCAGAAAGUUAAGGAUCCAGCUGGUUUUGUUUUUUUCUCGAAAGAUUAAUUAAUUCAAUACCAUUUCUUCAAUAAGCCAUCUUUUUCUUGAUUUGAAGUGCUAUUAUGUAUUAAAUUUCCAAAUGAACUUUUGUUUUUCAUAGACUCUUUGUUUCAUCCUGAUAAAGUCUCUUUAUAAAAUCCAUCUGGUAAAGACCACCGGGACACAUCUGUAGGCUGACAAAGGUUAAUUAGCUUGCUGCAGCGAGGGAGACUUGCACAGCAAA